CCUUUGGACUGACAGAGUCAGAAAUUUGCUGGGGAUGAAGGUGGAGGCAGUGGCUCUCCUUUAGGAUGUGUGCAUGGCUGUGUGCAGGGUCCUGGGCGAUGCAGGGCAGGGCAGGUUGCAGCGCCCUGCGCCCCACGGGCAUCCCUGUGUCCCCAUGUCACCAUGCACUGGGCAGAGCUGGAGCAGGUCAGCUGGAGGAACACUCACAGCGGGAUCCCUCCCCCCUGACAGGUCCAAGAAGAGUCACCACCCUUUAAGUGCCACGAAGAGGCCUUCCACUCUCCGGUGCAAGAAUUCAAACAGAAUCAUGCACUGAACCUGGAGCGAAGUCAAGCACGGAGCCUCCUCCCAGCUCAUCCAGCAACACGUUCACAAAAGGCCCUGUUAUUAUCCCCACGUCCACACACUCUAACCCUGUAAUUAGAUGCUUAGGCUAUGAUUGCCCCAUUGUCCGCUGGAUGGGUUUAAUCAUUCUUUCCUCCUACAGUGGCAAUUUUGUCCCAAUUAAUUAUUUCAGUUUGAACAGCAAUAGCUGGUUGAGUUUAGAGAGAAAUUAAAAGGGUAGAGCACAAUAAUGAAGAGCGAGCUAACCAGUGAAAAGCUGCAGACAAGGCUGCUGCUCCAUGCUCUCCACCGAGGGCUGGAGCACCUCCUUGCCUGCACAUGGCAGCAGGGCUGUGUGUUCAUCCUCAGGUCCAGCAGAAGGUGCUGCUGCAGCCGUGGUGGCCGUGACAGCAGUGGUGGCUCCAAGGUGAGUGGCAGUGCAGGCAGAGCAAAGAGAUGAGGGCAAUGCCACAAAUUAGGGUCAGCCUAUGGCUAUCAAUGGCAGCUCUCUGAGAAGACAGUUCUGCCGAGGCUGUGCUCCCUGCCCUCCUAUCCUGUGCCCAAACCCCCAUUUAUUCACUUUAUCUCCCCAUUUAUUCACUCUUGGCCACACAGUGGCAGAGCCCUGCAGCUCCCCAGCACUGCAGCAUGUGUUUUGGUGGUUCUCAGAGGGAUAGGUGCUGUUCUCUGGGUGAUUCGGGAUGCAAUUGAAUUGGGUUAAAAAAAAUAAAAUACAAAUGUUAAGGUUAUACAAGGUUUUGAGGGGAGAGGGGGAAAAUAUUCAUGCCUUUCAGUAGUUACAAAAAUGCUGCCUGUGCAAUUCAUGUAUAAUUCAGUGAAUUCCAGAGUAGUUUGAAUAUUUAAAUU
Lagopus leucura (white-tailed ptarmigan) is the source of this 1191-nucleotide long non-coding RNA. RefSeq lists it as uncharacterized. The transcript is spliced from 3 exons. NCBI's taxonomy places the organism in Eukaryota, Metazoa, Chordata, Aves, Galliformes, Phasianidae. The record is from RefSeq and is a predicted model, not a curated record.